Molecule: transfer RNA, 75 nt
Filed under: Acidiferrimicrobium australe
Lineage: Bacteria; Bacillati; Actinomycetota; Acidimicrobiia; Acidimicrobiales; Acidimicrobiaceae
Description: Acidimicrobiaceae bacterium USS-CCA1 tRNA-Lys
Rfam family: tRNA
About the family: Transfer RNA (tRNA) molecules are approximately 80 nucleotides in length.
Source: RNAcentral
GCGCCCCGGUCUCGAGUGUCAGAGAGCCGGGCUCUUCACCCGGUUGUCGUGGUUCAAGUCCACGGGGGCGCACCA